UAUCGUACUAGUUUCGGCGGUAUAUACUAAAAAUUAGAACGAUUUAGAGAAGAUUAGCAUAGUCUCUGCGCAAGGAUGGAAAGCAAAAUCGCGAAGCGUUCCAGAUUUUU
This 110-nucleotide small nuclear RNA is filed under the name Rhodnius prolixus. The record is from RNAcentral. Lineage: Eukaryota; Metazoa; Arthropoda; Insecta; Hemiptera; Reduviidae.